This is a non-coding RNA of Microcebus murinus (gray mouse lemur), 277 nucleotides long. The record is from RefSeq and is a predicted model, not a curated record. Lineage: Eukaryota; Metazoa; Chordata; Mammalia; Primates; Cheirogaleidae.
AGAGAGGGGCACAAGAAUGGAGACGGGAGCGAGGGAGCCCCCUAGAGACCAAGGAAAGGGAGAGGCCAGGACAGCUGAUGGUGACCGGGGUUGAGAGCGGGAGCGCCUCCAGAGGUCUGUUUUAUGAGGCUUUGGAAUCCAGACAACUUUAAGUGUUCUGAACGAGAGGCUAGGUGACUGACCUGGAUUAUCUACAGUGAGCAGACUUAAAUGGAACAAAGAUGUGUUCAGAUGAUAAUGAUAUAAACCAUGGAAUCAUUAAACCUAAGUGACUUGA